UUAAGCGACUAAGCGUACACGGUGGAUGCCCUGGCAGUCAGAGGCGAUGAAGGACGUGCUAAUCUGCGAUAAGCGUCGGUAAGGUGAUAUGAACCGUUAUAACCGGCGAUUUCCGAAUGGGGAAACCCAGUGUGUUUCGACACACUAUCAUUAACUGAAUCCAUAGGUUAAUGAGGCGAACCGGGGGAACUGAAACAUCUAAGUACCCCGAGGAAAAGAAAUCAACCGAGAUUCCCCCAGUAGCGGCGAGCGAACGGGGAGCAGCCCAGAGCCUGAAUCAGUGUGUGUGUUAGUGGAAGCGUCUGGAAAGGCGCGCGAUACAGGGUGACAGCCCCGUACACAAAAAUGCACAUGCUGUGAGCUCGAUGAGUAGGGCGGGACACGUGGUAUCCUGUCUGAAUAUGGGGGGACCAUCCUCCAAGGCUAAAUACUCCUGACUGACCGAUAGUGAACCAGUACCGUGAGGGAAAGGCGAAAAGAACCCCGGCGAGGGGAGUGAAAAAGAACCUGAAACCGUGUACGUACAAGCAGUGGGAGCACGCUUAGGCGUGUGACUGCGUACCUUUUGUAUAAUGGGUCAGCGACUUAUAUUCUGUAGCAAGGUUAACCGAAUAGGGGAGCCGAAGGGAAACCGAGUCUUAACUGGGCGUUAAGUUGCAGGGUAUAGACCCGAAACCCGGUGAUCUAGCCAUGGGCAGGUUGAAGGUUGGGUAACACUAACUGGAGGACCGAACCGACUAAUGUUGAAAAAUUAGCGGAUGACUUGUGGCUGGGGGUGAAAGGCCAAUCAAACCGGGAGAUAGCUGGUUCUCCCCGAAAGCUAUUUAGGUAGCGCCUCGUGAAUUCAUCUCCGGGGGUAGAGCACUGUUUCGGCAAGGGGGUCAUCCCGACUUACCAACCCGAUGCAAACUGCGAAUACCGGAGAAUGUUAUCACGGGAGACACACGGCGGGUGCUAACGUCCGUCGUGAAGAGGGAAACAACCCAGACCGCCAGCUAAGGUCCCAAAGUCAUGGUUAAGUGGGAAACGAUGUGGGAAGGCCCAGACAGCCAGGAUGUUGGCUUAGAAGCAGCCAUCAUUUAAAGAAAGCGUAAUAGCUCACUGGUCGAGUCGGCCUGCGCGGAAGAUGUAACGGGGCUAAACCAUGCACCGAAGCUGCGGCAGCGACGCUUAUGCGUUGUUGGGUAGGGGAGCGUUCUGUAAGCCUGCGAAGGUGUGCUGUGAGGCAUGCUGGAGGUAUCAGAAGUGCGAAUGCUGACAUAAGUAACGAUAAAGCGGGUGAAAAGCCCGCUCGCCGGAAGACCAAGGGUUCCUGUCCAACGUUAAUCGGGGCAGGGUGAGUCGACCCCUAAGGCGAGGCCGAAAGGCGUAGUCGAUGGGAAACAGGUUAAUAUUCCUGUACUUGGUGUUACUGCGAAGGGGGGACGGAGAAGGCUAUGUUGGCCGGGCGACGGUUGUCCCGGUUUAAGCGUGUAGGCUGGUUUUCCAGGCAAAUCCGGAAAAUCAAGGCUGAGGCGUGAUGACGAGGCACUACGGUGCUGAAGCAACAAAUGCCCUGCUUCCAGGAAAAGCCUCUAAGCAUCAGGUAACAUCAAAUCGUACCCCAAACCGACACAGGUGGUCAGGUAGAGAAUACCAAGGCGCUUGAGAGAACUCGGGUGAAGGAACUAGGCAAAAUGGUGCCGUAACUUCGGGAGAAGGCACGCUGAUAUGUAGGUGAAGUCCCUCGCGGAUGGAGCUGAAAUCAGUCGAAGAUACCAGCUGGCUGCAACUGUUUAUUAAAAACACAGCACUGUGCAAACACGAAAGUGGACGUAUACGGUGUGACGCCUGCCCGGUGCCGGAAGGUUAAUUGAUGGGGUCAGCGCAAGCGAAGCUCUUGAUCGAAGCCCCGGUAAACGGCGGCCGUAACUAUAACGGUCCUAAGGUAGCGAAAUUCCUUGUCGGGUAAGUUCCGACCUGCACGAAUGGCGUAAUGAUGGCCAGGCUGUCUCCACCCGAGACUCAGUGAAAUUGAACUCGCUGUGAAGAUGCAGUGUACCCGCGGCAAGACGGAAAGACCCCGUGAACCUUUACUAUAGCUUGACACUGAACAUUGAGCCUUGAUGUGUAGGAUAGGUGGGAGGCUUUGAAGUGUGGACGCCAGUCUGCAUGGAGCCGACCUUGAAAUACCACCCUUUAAUGUUUGAUGUUCUAACGUUGACCCGUAAUCCGGGUUGCGGACAGUGUCUGGUGGGUAGUUUGACUGGGGCGGUCUCCUCCUAAAGAGUAACGGAGGAGCACGAAGGUUGGCUAAUCCUGGUCGGACAUCAGGAGGUUAGUGCAAUGGCAUAAGCCAGCUUGACUGCGAGCGUGACGGCGCGAGCAGGUGCGAAAGCAGGUCAUAGUGAUCCGGUGGUUCUGAAUGGAAGGGCCAUCGCUCAACGGAUAAAAGGUACUCCGGGGAUAACAGGCUGAUACCGCCCAAGAGUUCAUAUCGACGGCGGUGUUUGGCACCUCGAUGUCGGCUCAUCACAUCCUGGGGCUGAAGUAGGUCCCAAGGGUAUGGCUGUUCGCCAUUUAAAGUGGUACGCGAGCUGGGUUUAGAACGUCGUGAGACAGUUCGGUCCCUAUCUGCCGUGGGCGCUGGAGAACUGAGGGGGGCUGCUCCUAGUACGAGAGGACCGGAGUGGACGCAUCACUGGUGUUCGGGUUGUCAUGCCAAUGGCACUGCCCGGUAGCUAAAUGCGGAAGAGAUAAGUGCUGAAAGCAUCUAAGCACGAAACUUGCCCCGAGAUGAGUUCUCCCU
Molecule: ribosomal RNA, 2788 nt
Filed under: Escherichia coli
Lineage: Bacteria; Pseudomonadati; Pseudomonadota; Gammaproteobacteria; Enterobacterales; Enterobacteriaceae
Description: 23S ribosomal RNA
Rfam family: Bacterial large subunit ribosomal RNA
Source: RNAcentral